RNAcentral lists this unclassified non-coding RNA (280 nucleotides) under Hevea brasiliensis (rubber tree). The record is from RNAcentral. Lineage: Eukaryota; Viridiplantae; Streptophyta; Magnoliopsida; Malpighiales; Euphorbiaceae.
GUGAAAGAGGGAAAAUCUGUACUUUCUUGGGCUUUGAAGAGCUUUGCUGGCAGGAGAAUUUGUGUUCUUCAUGUUCAUCAACCUAAUCAUUUGUUUUCAUCUAAGGAUGGGAAGCUAUCAGGUGCAAAGCUGAAACAGCACAUGGUGAAGGCAUGCCAAGAACUUGAUCGCCUAAGACUGCACAAACUUCUAAACCAGUAUCUUCUCUUUAUAUCCCAAGCUGGGAUACAAGGGGGUAAGGUGUGGCUUGAAAUAAAUAAUGUGGAGAAAGGGAUAAUAC